Molecule: ribosomal RNA, 1386 nt
Filed under: Pseudoligosita yasumatsui
Lineage: Eukaryota; Metazoa; Arthropoda; Insecta; Hymenoptera; Trichogrammatidae
Description: 16S ribosomal RNA
Source: RNAcentral
GCUAAUAAAAGUAAUUUAUAAAAAUUAUUCUUAUUUAAAUUAAUUAAUAAAUUAUUUAUUAAAUAUAUAAAAAUUUAAUUUUAUUAAAAUAAUAUAAAAAUUUAAAAAUUAAGUAUAUUAAUUAAAAUAUUUUUAUUUUAUUAAUAAUUAUAGUAAUAGAAUUUAUUUAUAAUUUUAUAAUUUAUAUUAAUAAUUUUUACCUUUAGUAUCAGGGUUUAUUAAAAUUUAUAAAAAUAUAUUUAAAAUUUCGAAAUAAAUUGAUUUAAUUUAUUAUAAUAUUUAAUAUUUAAUUAUUAUUAUUAAUAAUAAAUUAGUAAUAAAAGAUUUUUCAUAAUUUAAUAUCUAGUUAUUUUAGAAAUUAAUUUAAUUAAUAUUAUAAUUAUUUAAAUUUUUAUAUAAUAUAAAAAUUAAUUAAAAUUAUAAUUAAUAAUUUAAGGGAUAAACUUUAAAUUAAUAUUAAAUAUUUAAAUAAAUGUAUUUAAUUUUAAAAUUAAAAAUAUUUAAAAAUAAAUAAUUUUUAAUAAUUAAUAUGUAAUAUAUUUUAUAUAAAUAUAAUUUAUAAAAUUUAUUUAAUUUAUCUAUAAAAUUAUAUUUAAUAAUUUUUAUUAUUUAAAAAUUAUGAUAAAAUUAGUAAAAUUUAUUAUAUUAAAUAAAUUUAUAAAAAUAAAUUAAAUUUAUUUAAGGAAUUAGACAAAAAUUUUUAUUCACCUGUUUAAUAAAAACAUGGUUUUUUGAUAUUAAUAAAAAAUUUAAUCUGCUCAAUGAAUUAAUUUAAAUAGCUGCAGUAUUUUAACUGUACAAAGGUAGCAUAAUCAAUUGUCUUUUUAAUAAAGUCUAGAAUGAAUGAUUUAAUGAAAUAAAGAUUGUCUCAAAUAAAAUAUAUAAAUUUUAUUUUAAGUAAAAAUUCUUAAUAAAUUAUAAAAGACGAGAAGACCCUAUAGAAUUUAAAUUUUUUUUAUUAAUUAUAUAUUUUAAUAUUUAAAAAAUAAUUUAAUUAUUAAAAAUUUUAAUUGGGGAAAUUUAAAAAUUUAAUUAAAUUUUUAAAUUUUAUAUCAUAGAUUAAUGUUUAAUAAAUAUUUUUAUUAAAGUUAAUAUAUUAAAUUACCUUAGGGAUAACAGCGUAAUUAUUUUAAAUAGAUCAUAUUGAUAAAAUAGUUUGCGACCUCGAUGUUGAAUUAAGAUAAAUUAUAAAUGAAGAAAUUUUUAAAUUUAGUCUGUUCGACUAUUAAAAUCUUACAUGAUUUGAGUUUAGAUCGGUGUAAACCAGAUCGGAUUCUAUCUUUAUAAAAUAAAAUUAAUUUUGUACGAAAGGACUUUUUAAUUAAAUUAUAUUUUAAUUUUUGAAUAAAAUUAAAAUAUAUAAUUGUUAUUUUAUCAAAUUAGUGA